This is a long non-coding RNA of Brassica oleracea var. oleracea, 968 nucleotides long. RefSeq lists it as uncharacterized. The transcript is spliced from 2 exons. The record is from RefSeq and is a predicted model, not a curated record. Lineage: Eukaryota; Viridiplantae; Streptophyta; Magnoliopsida; Brassicales; Brassicaceae.
UCGGCCCCUAACCAUCGUCAAAGUUCUUCAUCUCUUCAUUUCACCGGCGACCAAAACCUUCGAACGUUACGGAAUCAGUCUGGAUUGAAGCGUCAUCUUUAAAGCGCUCUCAGUAACAAUAACAUCUCCAAUGACUUCCUCCCUCUGGAUCUUCAACUAUAAAAAGGAAAGAACUUUGGAGUGGAGAUUUGACAAGAGAAUUGAGUGGCAACACGACAGAGAGUCAAGAUACAGAUGUUAACUAAACUGAAUGUGAUUUUUAUGUUCAUACUUCUUUGAAUUUAGUUUAUGUUCAUUUAAUGUUUUCUUCUGAUUUAGAUUCCCAGGCUGGAAAAAUGGAUCUGAGAGCGAGUGGAUCCACAUGGAGAUCAAAAUCCAAAUCAGAAGCCAAGGAUUCUUAUGAAUAAGGAUAAGAAGAGAUGCGAGAGACGUGACCAACAGUUUCUCCAGCAAAAGCCAAAGAUAUCAAAUAAUUACGCGGAGGAGGACAUGUCCAUGAAGCUACAUUAGAGAAGAUAUGUGGAAAAAUAUCAAGGAAAUAAAAUUACAAGAAGCGAAACUAAAGGCUGGCCAGUAGAAGAAAUCCCACUCUAAACAGGUUGGAACAAAAAAAAACAUCAAGGUUAGAGUUUUCAUCAAGAGCAUCUAUAAAAUGUGGAGUUAGAGCUAUUUCUGACGGAGAGCUCGAACUUUUGAUGGAAGCAGUAGAUGGAGGAAUGAGAACGUAAGGCUUUGCAGUAGUGAAAUAACUGACUCGAUCCUCAAAAGGAUUUUAGAGAUGCAGUGGUUGAGAUGUUCAUGGAAUAUGGUAUCAACCACCCAGAAGAACUCAAGCAGGUUCACAGAUUUUAUACCAGUAAAAAAAAAACAUGAUCCAGCGAAAGUUUAUUAUUAUCAAAAGAACAUUUUAGGAUCAUCAUCAGCUUACGUUCAAAUCAUGGAUAUUGGUUAAAGUAGUGUAAAGCUUA